UGGACAGAUUAUUGUAUUUGCUUGUAUUCGACUGUAUUCACGGCGUGAAAAUAGGGGAUGACACUGUUUUUAAAAGGGAAAGUGAAUCAAUUAACAUAAUAGACUCCU
Molecule: non-coding RNA, 108 nt
Organism: Nicotiana sylvestris (wood tobacco)
Lineage: Eukaryota; Viridiplantae; Streptophyta; Magnoliopsida; Solanales; Solanaceae
Source: Rfam